This 475-nucleotide ribosomal RNA is filed under the name uncultured bacterium. RNAcentral's name for it is "partial 16S ribosomal RNA". It matches the Rfam family "Bacterial small subunit ribosomal RNA", at positions 28 to 523 of the family's 1533-position model. The record is from RNAcentral.
GACGAACGCUGGCGGCGUGCUUAACACAUGCAAGUCGAACGGUAAGGCCCUUCGGGGUACACGAGUGGCGAACGGGUGAGUAACACGUGGGUGAUCUGCCCUGCACUUCGGGAUAAGCCUGGGAAACUGGGUCUAAUACCGGAUAGGACCACUGCCUGCAUGGGUGGUGGAAAGCUUUUGCGGUGUGGGAUGGGCCCGCGGCCUAUCAGCUUGUUGGUGGGGUGAUGGCCUACCAAGGCGACGACGGGUAGCCGGCCUGAGAGGGUGACCGGCCACACUGGGACUGAGAUACGGCACAGACUCCUACGGGAGGCAGCAGUGGGGAAUAUUGCACAAUGGGCGCAAGCCUGAUGCAGCGACGCCGCGUGAGGGAUGACGGCCUUCGGGUUGUAAACCUCUUUCAGCACCGACGAAGCGCAAGUGACGGUAGGUGCAGAAGAAGGACCGGCCAACUACGUGCCAGCCGCCGCCGUAA